Long non-coding RNA from Sinocyclocheilus grahami, 88 nucleotides. RefSeq lists it as uncharacterized. The record is from RefSeq and is a predicted model, not a curated record. Lineage: Eukaryota; Metazoa; Chordata; Actinopteri; Cypriniformes; Cyprinidae. The transcript has 3 exons.
CUAAAGGAACACAGCUUAUGAAAGGAGCAUGUUUUAAUUAAGUUGUUAUUUUUUAAUACAUUUUUUUACUGCACGUGUAUGUAAAAAG